Molecule: ribosomal RNA, 549 nt
Filed under: uncultured bacterium
Lineage: Bacteria
Description: bacterial SSU rRNA
Rfam family: Bacterial small subunit ribosomal RNA
Source: RNAcentral
GAGUUUGAUCCUGGUUCAGGACGAACGCUGGCGGCACGCCUAACACAUGCAAGUCGAACGGAGAUAAUUGAGUUUACUUAAUUAUCUUAGUGGCGGACGGGUGAGUAACACGUGAGCAACCUGCCUCUGAGAGAGGGAUAGCUUCUGGAAACGGAUGGUAAUACCUCAUAACAUAUGCUUAAGGCAUCUUAGGCAUAUCAAAGAUUUAUCACUCAGAGAUGGGCUCGCGUCUGAUUAGCUAGAUGGUGAGGUAACGGCUCACCAUGGCGACGAUCAGUAGCCGGACUGAGAGGUUGAACGGCCACAUUGGGACUGAGACACGGCCCAGACUCCUACGGGAGGCAGCAGUGGGGAAUAUUGCACAAUGGGGGAAACCCUGAUGCAGCGAUGCCGCGUGGAGGAAGAAGGUUUUCGGAUUGUAAACUCCUGUCUUAAAGGACGAUAAUGACGGUACUUUAGGAGGAAGCUCCGGCUAACUACGUGCCAGCAGCCGCGGUAAUACGUAGGGAGCGAGCGUUGUCCGGAAUUACUGGGUGUAAAGGGAGCGUA